Molecule: ribosomal RNA, 241 nt
Filed under: uncultured bacterium
Lineage: Bacteria
Description: partial 16S ribosomal RNA
Rfam family: Bacterial small subunit ribosomal RNA
Source: RNAcentral
AUCCUGGCUCAGGAUGAACGCUAGCUACAGGCUUAACACAUGCAAGUCGAGGGGCAGCAUUUUAGUUUGUCUUGCAAACUAAAAGAAUGGCGACCGGCGCACGGUGAGUAACACGUAUCCAACCUGCCGAUAACUCAGGGAUAGCCUUUCGAAAGAAAGAUUAAUACCUGAUGGCAUAGGAUUAUCGCAUGAUAAUCCUAUUAAAGAAUUUCGGUUAUCGAUGGGGAUGCGUUCCAUUAGG